This 253-nucleotide ribosomal RNA is filed under the name uncultured bacterium. Its description in RNAcentral is "partial 16S ribosomal RNA". It matches the Rfam family "Bacterial small subunit ribosomal RNA", at positions 524 to 776 of the family's 1533-position model. The record is from RNAcentral.
UACGGAGGGUGCAAGCGUUAUCCGGAUUCACUGGGUUUAAAGGGUGCGUAGGUGGGCAAGUAAGUCAGUGGUGAAAUCUCCGGGCUUAACCCGGAAACUGCCAUUGAUACUAUUUGUCUUGAAUACUGUGGAGGUCAGCGGAAUAUGUCAUGUAGCGGUGAAAUGCUUAGAUAUGACAUAGAACACCAAUUGCGAAGGCAGCUGGCUACACAAAUAUUGACACUGAGGCACGAAGGCGUGGGGAUCAAACAGG